This 249-nucleotide long non-coding RNA is filed under the name Elaeis guineensis (African oil palm). Its description in RNAcentral is "long non-coding RNA (EGUI_LNC051238)". Lineage: Eukaryota; Viridiplantae; Streptophyta; Magnoliopsida; Arecales; Arecaceae. The record is from RNAcentral.
GUGGGGCAUCAUCCCUUUAGGAAAGGGAAGAAGAAAAAUAAAAAUAAAAAGGUGCAACAUGCUGGGGAUCAAACCAAGAAGUCCAAGUCUAAGUUUGACCAAAGUUAGGCAAAGUACUUCUAUUGUAUGAAGCAAGAUCAUUGAAAAAGGAACUAUCCUCAGUACAAAGCUUCUCUUUAUCCGAACAGGCCAAAUAAGAAGCAAGCUAUUGUUGGGCAAUGUAAUUAUAUGAUAACACCUUGCAACUUC